GAAUUCCUUACAGCAACACAUACAUAAUCUAAAAUCAUAUUUUUAAGAAACUUUGGAUUCUG
Dictyostelium purpureum is the source of this 62-nucleotide non-coding RNA. It matches the Rfam family "Class I RNA from Dictyostelium". NCBI's taxonomy places the organism in Eukaryota, Evosea, Eumycetozoa, Dictyosteliales, Dictyosteliaceae. The record is from Rfam.